UAGAAUGUAGCUAAGUGGUUAAAGCUCCAGCUUUUGACGCUGGCAUCGAAGGUUCGAUUCCUUUCAUUCUAG
This 72-nucleotide transfer RNA is filed under the name Diacronema viridis. RNAcentral describes it as "tRNA-Gln". It matches the Rfam family "tRNA". Rfam says of the family: Transfer RNA (tRNA) molecules are approximately 80 nucleotides in length. Their secondary structure includes four short double-helical elements and three loops (D, anti-codon, and T loops). Lineage: Eukaryota; Haptophyta; Pavlovophyceae; Pavlovales; Pavlovaceae. The record is from RNAcentral.